RNAcentral lists this long non-coding RNA (876 nucleotides) under Rattus norvegicus (Norway rat). RNAcentral's name for it is "long non-coding RNA NONRATT010931". Lineage: Eukaryota; Metazoa; Chordata; Mammalia; Rodentia; Muridae. The record is from RNAcentral.
AGGAAAUGAGAAUGGGUGAUAUGGGUCCCCGUGGAGCAAUAAACAUGGGAGAUGCAUUUAGCCCAGCACCUGCUGGUACCCAAGGGCCUCCUCCAAUGAUGGGUAUGAAUAUGAACAACAGAGGAACUAUACCUGGCCCACCAAUGGGUCCUGGUCCUGCCAUGGGACCAGAAGGAGCUGCAAAUAUGGGAACUCCAAUGAUACCAGAUAAUGGCGCAGUGGUUGUUACAACAUGAAUCUACUGAAGACCCUGGUCUGUUGGAGAAGAACUUAACAGCCCAGAAUGCUGGCCUUAGACUGCUGCAUUAGGUCCUUUGGGUCUCCUACUUUAGAAAGGAAGCUGCUGCUGCUGCUUACAAUUCUGGAUGCUCCAGUUCGGAUUGGCUCACUACACUUGCCAUAGGAAUAAAGAAUCAAUAAAUUUUCCGUUUUGAAAACAAAAUGGAGAAGCCCCUGGAACUUCCAUCCUGCCACCUGACCUGUUCUGCUGCUUCAGGGGUGGCACUGUGGACCAGCAGUGAUGGUUGUCCAAGACUGGAGAGCACAUGUGUGGGCAGGACACGCAGGGUUGAGUCAGAAUAUCCACUGUUACAAGGCCCUGGAAGACCCGUGGGCACUAGUUAAGGUCACAGCAUGCUGUGAGGAAAACCUCCUGUUGACACAAAAGCAGCAAUCCAGAACUUUAUGGAGCAAGCGUUGAAGUCUGCAUGCCACAGGACACAUUUCUACUGUGGAGAACAUCUGUUGUGUACUGCAUGGAAACAUCUCCUGUCCAUAGAAGCUGAUGGCCUAUUAGCUGGGGCAGGAAGGAAUAGGAGGUGGAGUUCCAGCAGGGAGGACUAGAAUAAAUGGGUUGUUUGAGUUACAAGCUUUUAA